This 471-nucleotide ribosomal RNA is filed under the name Citrobacter freundii. RNAcentral's name for it is "bacterial SSU rRNA". It matches the Rfam family "Bacterial small subunit ribosomal RNA", at positions 1 to 470 of the family's 1533-position model. Lineage: Bacteria; Pseudomonadati; Pseudomonadota; Gammaproteobacteria; Enterobacterales; Enterobacteriaceae. The record is from RNAcentral.
GGGGGUUGGAGAAGUUGAUCCUGGCUCCAGAUUGAACGCUGGCGGCAGGCCUAACACAUGCAAGUCGAACGGUAGCACAGAGAGCUUGCUUCUCGGGUGACGAGUGGCGGACGGGUGAGUAAUGUCUGGGAAACUGCCCGAUGGAGGGGGAUAACUACUGGAAACGGUAGCUAAUACCGCAUAAUGUCGCAAGACCAAAGAGGGGGACCUUCGGGCCUCUUGCCAUCGGAUGUGCCCAGAUGGGAUUAGCUUGUAGGUGGGGUAACGGCUCACCUAGGCGACGAUCCCUAGCUGGUCUGAGAGGAUGACCAGCCACACUGGAACUGAGACACGGUCCAGACUCCUACGGGAGGCAGCAGUGGGGAAUAUUGCACAAUGGCGCAAGCCUGAUGCAGCCAUGCCGCGUGUAUGAAGAAGGCUCGGGUUGUAAAGUACUUCAGCGAGGAGGAAGGCGUUGGGUUAAUAACCACA